AGAAUCAACGCUGGCGGCGUGCCUAACACAUGCAAGUCGAACGAGAAAGGGGAGCAAUCCCUGAGUACAGUGGCGCACGGGUGAGUAACACGUGACUAACCUACCCUGGAGUGGGGAAUAACUGAGGGAAACCUUAGCUAAUACCGCAUAAUACCUACGGGUCAAAGGAGCAAUUCGCUUCAGGAGGGGUCGCGGCCGAUUAGCUAGUUGGCGGGGUAAUGGCCCACCAAGGCAAUGAUCGGUAUCCGGCCUGAGAGGGCGCACGGACACACUGGAACUGAAACACGGUCCAGACUCCUACGGGAGGCAGCAGUGGGGAAUUUUGCGCAAUGGGGGAAACCCUGACGCAGCAACGCCGCGUGGAGGAUGAAAUCCCUUGGGAUGUAAACUCCUUUCGAUCGGGACGAUUAUGACGGUACCGGAAGAAGAAGCCCCGGCUAACUUCGCGCCAGCAGCCGC
Molecule: ribosomal RNA, 459 nt
Filed under: uncultured bacterium
Lineage: Bacteria
Description: SSU rRNA
Rfam family: Bacterial small subunit ribosomal RNA
Source: RNAcentral